RNAcentral lists this ribosomal RNA (391 nucleotides) under uncultured bacterium. RNAcentral describes it as "bacterial SSU rRNA". It matches the Rfam family "Bacterial small subunit ribosomal RNA", at positions 30 to 420 of the family's 1533-position model. The record is from RNAcentral.
AUUGAACGCUGGCGGCAUGCCUUACACAUGCAAGUCGAACGGCAGCACGGGAGCAAUCCUGGUGGCGAGUGGCGAACGGGUGAGUAAUAUAUCGGAACGUGCCCAGUCGUGGGGAUAACGUAGCGAAAGCUACGCUAAUACCGCAUACGAUCUAUGGAUGAAAGCGGGGGAUCGCAAGACCUCGCGCGAUUGGAGCGGCCGAUAUCAGAUUAGGUAGUUGGUGAGGUAAAGGCUCACCAAGCCGACGAUCUGUAGCUGGUCUGAGAGGACGACCAGCCACACUGGGACUGAGACACGGCCCAGACUCCUACGGGAGGCAGCAGUGGGGGAAUUUUUGGACAAUGGGCGCAAGCCUGAUCCAGCAAUGCCGCGUGCAGGAUGAAGGCCUUGG